AACGCUGGCGGCAUGCCUAACACAUGCAAGUCGAACGAAUUACCUUCGGGUAGUUAGUGGCGCACGGGUGCGUAACGCGUGGGAAUCUACCCCUUGGUUCGGAAUAACAGUUGGAAACGACUGCUAAUACCGGAUGAUGACGUAAGUCCAAAGAUUUAUCGCCGAGGGAUGAGCCCGCGUAGGAUUAGGUAGUUGGUGUGGUAAAGGCGCACCAAGCCGACGAUCCUUAGCUGGUCUGAGAGGAUGAUCAGCCACACUGGGACUGAGACACGGCCCAGACUCCUACGGGAGGCAGCAGUGGGGAAUAUUGGACAAUGGGCGAAAGCCUGAUCCAGCAAUGCCGCGUGAGUGAUGAAGGCCUUAGGGUUGUAAAGCUCUUUUACCCGGGAUGAUAAUGACAGUACCGGGAGAAUAAGCUCCGGCUAACUCCGUGCCAGCAGCCGCGGUAAUACGGAGGGAGCUAGCGUUAUUCGGAAUUACUGGGCGUAAAGCGCACGUAGGCGGCUUUGUAAGUAAGAGGUGAAAGCCCAGAGCUCAACUCUGGAAUUGCCUUUUAGACUGCAUCGCUUGAAUCAUGGAGAGGUCAGUGGAAUUCCGAGUGUAGAGGUGAAAUUCGUAGAUAUUCGGAAGAACACCAGUGGCGAAGGCGGCUGACUGGACAUGUAUUGACGCUGAGGUGCGAAAGCGUGGGGAGCAAAC
This 699-nucleotide ribosomal RNA is filed under the name uncultured bacterium. RNAcentral describes it as "bacterial SSU rRNA". It matches the Rfam family "Bacterial small subunit ribosomal RNA", at positions 32 to 773 of the family's 1533-position model. The record is from RNAcentral.